AGGGUGUAAACGCUGCAGACUUGGUGUUGGGAACCCUUCGGGGGUGCUCAGUGCCGGAGAGAAGUUGUUAAGUCUGCUACUUGGGGAGUACGUCCGCAAGGAUGAAACUUAAAGGAAUUGGCGGGGGAGCACCGCAACGGGAGGAGCGUGCGGUUUAAUUGGAUUCAACACCGUAAAACUCACCAGGGAAGACUGUUACAUGAAGGCCGAGGUGAAGACUCUGCUAGAUUUUCAGAGAGGAGGUGCAUGGCGUCAGUGACU
RNAcentral lists this ribosomal RNA (261 nucleotides) under uncultured archaeon. Its description in RNAcentral is "partial 16S ribosomal RNA". It matches the Rfam family "Archaeal small subunit ribosomal RNA", at positions 748 to 1008 of the family's 1478-position model. The record is from RNAcentral.